RNA transcript from Salvelinus sp. IW2-2015, 3994 nucleotides. It is a transcript of the gene named shaker-related potassium channel tsha2, with no coding region annotated. The record is from RefSeq and is a predicted model, not a curated record. Lineage: Eukaryota; Metazoa; Chordata; Actinopteri; Salmoniformes; Salmonidae.
UGACGCUGACAUUCGACGCUAACAUCCAACCAUGGGUCUGUAUAGAUAGAGGAAGCAGUUAAGCUGUGUCCACUAUGUUAACUGACGGUCAUGGUCACCCAAUUCAGAAAACGUUUGAUCACCAUAAAAGUACAAGUGAACUUCAUUGGCCAUCAAUUAGCUGUUAUAGCGUGGGUCGGGUAGGCUACAUAGGCCACUGUAUCAAAAACGGGUCAUUUGUGGAGUAUCUGUAGAUGCACAGCCUAUCGUGGGUUUGAUGCGUCAGUCUUGACACACGGAUUAAUCAACUGUAUAUUCCUAGGAAGGAUGUUUGACCUUGUUUCGGUUUAUUUCUCACAGUGUUCCAAGCACACCAUGUGUGAAGCAGCUGAAACCGGUUGUGUAAGAGAGCAUGAACUUACAGUGUGGGCAGAGGUCCUACAGUAAUAUCAGGAACAUGUCAUCUAUGAAGAAAAUAAAAAAUACUUUUUCAUUUUGCGGGUUGCAGUCGUUCUUAAGGGGAAAGUUCGCCAAAUGUCAAAAUGACACAUUGAUUUCCUUGUCCUGUAAGCAGUCUAUGGCUGGAUUGACAGCAAUCCAUGCUUUGGUUUAGUUUCCCUGGCACUGUUUCCGCAUGCUAACGUUUUAGCCUUUGUGACACAAAUCCCAUUCAAGUCACGGGACCGAUAUCAGCAUUUUUCAAGCAUCAAUUUGUUCAAAACAUCUAUAACUGACUUUGUAGAGCUUCACAAUGAUUUAUUGAUACCUUUGGAUGAUUUAGACAUGAUGUGCGAAAAUGGCUAAUAUUGUUCCAAUGUGAAGCUGCAUUAAAGCCCCUGCGGUUAGUCCACAUUGGAAACAAACAUUUGAAAUGUAAAAAAACAAACUGGUGAAGUUGACUGAGUUAUGAUUUUUGUGUAGGUUAACUAAAGGAAACUUGGUCAGUCCUUUAAAAAACGAUGGCAGUGAUUUGUUUCUCUGAAAUAAGCUAUUAGAACACUGGUCAGUCAACACCGCAAGUCCUGAGUUGAGAAAACUUUGAAGAAGAGUAAUAGGUGUUUACUAGUCGUGUUAGAUUCAACAACAUGACACAGAGAGAGCAGUAAGUGAGCAGUGGACAGUGCAGCGAGUGUCAUCACGUCAGUCAAUUUGGGGAGGGCUUCUGGCUGUUUAAAAUGGUGUGAAUAUGAUAGCCAAUACUGUAGACAGCCAACGGUAGCAAGUAGACAGACGAGAGUAUUUCAGGACCGUCUGCAACUACAAAAAGUGUAUUGAUUUAAAUGGGGGGAACACUUUUACUGGACAGAAAAAAACAUAUGGUGGAGUAAUUAAUCAUACCCUUUGGGAGGCUGGAGUGAUACAGUGAGGAUUUACUUGGAUUCAUUACCCAAAGAAAGAGAGGGAGAGAAAGAAAGAAAACUACUGAGAGAACGUGACAGUUGGGGCCGUGGAGGUGAGUGAAGCGCGUACUCUUGAGGGGCAAAAGAUGACUGUUGUGACCCGUGAGAACCAGGACGAGACUGUGGUAGUCCCUCCCCUGUACCCAGAUGAUUGCGACGUGGAGCGGGGCGAUCAGGAGUGUAGCGAGAGGGUCGUCAUCAACAUCUCCGGGCUGCGCUUCGAAACUCAACUGAAGACCCUCUCGCGCUUUCCCUCUACGCUAUUGGGAGACCCACGUAAAAGGAUGCGCUUCUUCGAUCCGUUGAGAAAUGAGUACUUUUUCGACAGGAAUAGACCCAGCUUUGAUGCCAUCCUUUAUUAUUACCAGUCUGGAGGGAGGCUUAGGAGACCUGUCAACGUUACCAUGGACAUUUUCAUGGAAGAAAUCAAAUUUUAUGAAAUCGAAGAGGAGACCAUAGAGAUGUUCAAAGAAGAUGAAGGUAUGAUCAGAGAGGUGGAACGUCCGAUGCCUGACAACGACUUUCAGCGCCAGAUGUGGUUGUUGUUUGAGUACCCGGACAGCUCAGGGCCUGCCCGGAUGAUCGCUGUUGUAUCAGUCAGUGUGAUUUUGAUAUCCAUAUUGAUCUUCUGUUUGGAGACUUUGCCACGGUUCAGGGAAGAUCACAGCACAGACAUAGAACUCAGUAAUCACCUCACCACGAAUGGGACUACUCGCCACAAAAAAAGUAAUCCGUUGACAGACCCGUUUUUUAUGGUUGAGUCACUUUGCAUCGUAUGGUUUUCCUUUGAAUUUCUCAUGAGGUUUUUAUCAAGCCCCAGCAAACCGGCUUUCUUCAAAAACGCAAUGAACGUCAUUGACAUAUUAGCGAUUGCUCCUUAUUUCAUCACCCUUGGACUUGAACUCGCAGAGCUACAGGGAGCGGGGAGCGAGCAGGCCACGUCGUUAGCGAUACUCAGAGUCAUCCGUUUGGUUCGAGUCUUCAGGAUUUUCAAACUUUCCAGGCACUCCAAGGGUCUCCAAAUCUUGGGCCAGACACUCAACGCCAGUAUCAGUGAACUAGGUCUUUUGAUAUUCUUUCUUCUCAUCGGGGUUAUCCUGUUCUCCAGCGCUGCUUACUUUGCAGAGACAGACGACCCUGAAUCCGGAUUCACGAGUAUCCCCGCCGCAUUUUGGUGGGCGGUGGUGUCCAUGACUACGGUUGGAUAUGGAGACAUGUGCCCGGUUACUGUUGGCGGCAAAAUAGUGGGAUCUAUGUGUGCCAUCGCCGGAGUGCUGACCAUAGCCCUACCUGUCCCUGUCAUUGUUUCCAAUUUUAAUUACUUUUAUCACAGAGAACGCAAUGACGAGGACACCGCCGUGUAUACUCACGUGACUUGUGGCCAACAGAAUACUUCAUUUGGCGAAUUCAAAUCGACCAGCGACAGCAAACAGUCCCUCGCCAAAUCAGAGUACAUUGAAGAUGAUUCUUUCGAGACUAUCAGAUUUACUAACUUCAGCCCGUUUGAACAUUACACUGGCAAACUGACAGAUGUAUGAAAAAACAAGCAACGCCCUAGCUGAGCAGAAAAAACGAUAUCGGUGAGUAGCCAGCCUGAGAACAUUUACGGGCGCUUUUACGCAAGCAGUAAGUUGUCAUACAAUCUCUCAAUAACUUUAAUUAAUUUGUUGGAUACCUUCAGUUGGCCUAAUGCUUCAUCACAGUAAUGUCGGGUCAGUGUCCGGCCUAUGUGCAUGUUUGAAUAACUACACGCAGUUUUACCCACCCUAUUACGCACGGUGUUUGUUGGCAUAUAAUCUUAAAAUAGCUGGAAUUAAUUUGUUUGACACCUUCAGUAGGCCUAAAACUGUAUUACAGGUCAGUAGCAUACAGUGUUGUGGCCACAGCAACUUCUAAAACUGGGUUGCUUUUGGAGAGUUUAUAGAAUUUCUGAACUCGGAGCGCCACUGUGUGGUUGAAACGCAAUCGCGCAGCAGACGCUUCUCAGGGGACAAGAUCAAAGACCAUUGCUUUUCUGCUCCACUUGAAAGGAAAUGCAGGCAUGGCUUUUCCAAUUCUAGAUAUACUUGUAACUGAAAAAGUCAAGAUAGUGAAUAAAAAACACACAUGACAUGUCUCCAUGAACAAUUGGCCAGCAAUGUGAGAUGACAGAUGCUGAUGCAUCAUCCAACGGAGAGCUCGCUGAAGAAAAUACGGUUUUGGAACAUCUGCCUUUAGGAAACUGAUAACCUUUGAAAAUCAAUUCGCCUUUCAAAGUAUUUUGCAGUGUAUUCAAUGAACUAUGAAAUGACUACUGUAGAUAUCCUGUUGUGUAUUGUUGUAAAUAGGCCUAUACUGUAAAUUCAAUCGUUGUGCUCAACUCAGAAUCUUUAUGCGAACAUAUCUGUGUGCCUUUAAGUGGAUGAUUUCAAAAUAACCAUUUGGGUAGUCCUUUAUUUUAUUGAACUAUUUAUUGCACAGAGAAUCUGAUUUUGCUAUAAACGUUCCUUGGGAAGCUAGUUUUAAAACCACUAGUCUUAAAAUAACUUAACCAUAGGAAUCUUAUUAAGUAUGCAUGUAAGGAGAUAUCAGUUGUGCUCAAAAAAUGUCAUGAAGAUGUAUUUAUAUUUUUGUAA